This 118-nucleotide ribosomal RNA is filed under the name Diaphorina citri (Asian citrus psyllid). Lineage: Eukaryota; Metazoa; Arthropoda; Insecta; Hemiptera; Psyllidae. The record is from RNAcentral.
GCCAGCGCCGACAGCACGUUGAGUCCAAAAGUUCCCAAUGGAUCACUGAAUUUAAGCAACAUUGCGCGCGGUUAGUAUUCGGAAGGGUGACCCCCUGGCCAAUCGCGUGCUCCUCACU